GGGCGGUUAGCUCAGCUGGAAGAGCGGCUGGUUUACACCCAGUAGGUCGGCGGUUCGAACCCGUCACCGCCCACCA
This 76-nucleotide transfer RNA is filed under the name Alphaproteobacteria bacterium. RNAcentral describes it as "tRNA-Val". It matches the Rfam family "tRNA". Rfam says of the family: Transfer RNA (tRNA) molecules are approximately 80 nucleotides in length. The record is from RNAcentral. Lineage: Bacteria; Pseudomonadati; Pseudomonadota; Alphaproteobacteria. RNAcentral also lists the same sequence under 5 other names.